CUGUGAUGUCUUCCAUUGCAGCAGUUAAACUUUUUGACAGUCAAAUAUUUAGCUGCAGUCCAUUACUGCAGUCGUUGACUUGAGUUCAUUUUUAAUCUAUCCCAUUGAGAGACAGCCAGCAUUUGUUUGUUUUAACAUACAGUAAAGGUAGAAAACUGACUGGGCCAGAUUACUCCAAAGACAUUUGGAGGCCUUUUCGAGUUUUGUGUGGCAGCGGUGAGAAGUGACGUCAACAUCGAGAGAGGCAUGCAGUGCCCUUACAGAGACCAAAGGUCAACAACUGAUUUUAAGAACAAGAGAUUCUGGAAUAUGUGUCUAAAAGACUGUUGAAGCUGCCUUUCGUGCUGAGAAAGAAAAAAGAGACACUGACCAUAUGUCUAAAGUAUCUGCCCCCUUCACGAGGCCUUUCGUGAUCGAAAGCAAGCCCUCACCUCAGCACCGCUUUGGGCCUCUUGGUCUAUCAUCAGCUUACACCUGCACGGGAAGCGUGUGUCACAUUAUCGCCCUAUUGCAUAUAACUCAUACUGGUUUCCGCCUGUGGUCUUGGCAUGGCGAGCUGUCUCAGAGAUGUAGCCGCUGUUGCUACCAUAAUUGUUAAAUUUCAGCCAUUGUACUUGGUCACGACUGUGUUGUUUUUGUUGUUUGUGUUGUUUAUGCAGGGCUGCACAUCUUGAAGGCUAUGCAGCAUGGAGAUCUGGCUAUGGGGCUAUCAUAUUGUCAAACCCUCACAUUUCUUGAAAGAGAAUUAAAGCAGACUGAUUCAAAAUUCUGAUCUGAUUUUGUUAACUGAUGGAUUUAAAGAUAACAAACACCUGGUUGAGCUGUAGUGGGGGAUUGGGAAGUUAUGGAGCAAAUCACUGUCUAAAGGCACGUCGAGAAGCAACAGAAUUAUAUCCUCUCAUUAGAGCCUGCAUUCUGGCUAUAAAGAUUUCAGUUCCUUCCUUCAUGUUUUGACCAAUGUUUUCAAUAGGUCCGACACAUGUAGGAAAAGGGGGAUGAAUUAUGUAAUUAGGUUACAAUGAUUUGCUCUAGUCACACAAGAUAUUGUACAAGUAAAGAAAGAAAGUUCAGUGAAAACACGAUUAUUAUAACUAUCAGGAGUAAAAUUAAUAUUGCCAUUUAAAUAAUCAAAUUGUUAUGAUUGUUAAUGUUUGUAUUAAGUAUGAAAAUAGAUUUCACACAUAUGCCAAGCUGUCAAGGCUGUGAAAGUGAGAAUGAGAGAAUCAACUUAACCAUUGUUCUAUAUUUCAUCCGCAGUACAGAGAAUGCAGCAACUGAACUAAGUCCUCAUGAGUCCUGACAGAGUAUAAUCCCAAAAGGUCACACUUCUCUGGACUGAUGAGUAGAUGCAUAUACGAGUGUAUGAUAUUGAUGUAUAUUGCAUGUUAACAAAACUAGCAAACUAACAGCAAUGUUAAAAAUAUUUAAUUUACAGGUCCUCCACAGACUCCUGGAAACAUCGUGGGGGUUUUUCAUGUUUCAUCAUUCCAGAAGAAUGUGUAAAUCAAAUCUCUCCAAUCUAUGGAGAAUGUGUCCCUGUCUCACAGGUAGAGAGAACCGUUUCAGGUGUUAACUGACGACAAGGACCACCUCAUAGGUCAAUGGUCGAGCAGACAAUGCUGUGACAUAGGAGCAGGGGGUGGGUCUGACUGAGAGCUCGUCCAAUGUACGUCCACCGACACCUGCAACCAUGUACCCAUUGGAUGGAUUCAUUGUGCGCCAGUGACGGACAUUCACGAAGGGUAACUACAGCUCCAGAGAGCUGAGCAACGCUGAUGACUUUGCUAGGGGUACAGCUGAGGAAGGAAUAUUCAACACACCUCGUUUGCAUUUUAUUCAUGUGCAAAAUAAAGCUUACAUCAUUG
Scophthalmus maximus (turbot) is the source of this 1865-nucleotide long non-coding RNA. RefSeq lists it as uncharacterized. The record is from RefSeq and is a predicted model, not a curated record. The transcript is spliced from 4 exons. Lineage: Eukaryota; Metazoa; Chordata; Actinopteri; Pleuronectiformes; Scophthalmidae.